Molecule: ribosomal RNA, 273 nt
Filed under: Acidimicrobiaceae bacterium
Lineage: Bacteria; Bacillati; Actinomycetota; Acidimicrobiia; Acidimicrobiales; Acidimicrobiaceae
Description: partial 16S ribosomal RNA
Rfam family: Bacterial small subunit ribosomal RNA
Source: RNAcentral
UUGACGGAGAGUUUGAUCCUGGCUCAGGACGAACGCUGGCGGCGUGCCUAAUACAUGCAAGUCGAACGAGAUCCUGGAGCUUGCUCCGGGGGACAGUGGCGAACGGGUGAGUAACACGUGAGAAACCUGCCCUAGAGACCGGGACAACCGUUGGAAACGGCGGCUAAUACCGGAUGCCUUCACAUGGUCGCAUGGCCGAGUGAAGAAAUGCUCAGGUGCUCUAGGAGGGUCUCGCGGCCUAUCAGCUAGUUGGUGAGGUAACGGCUCACCAAG